Condylura cristata (star-nosed mole) is the source of this 510-nucleotide long non-coding RNA. RefSeq lists it as uncharacterized. The transcript has 3 exons. The record is from RefSeq and is a predicted model, not a curated record. NCBI's taxonomy places the organism in Eukaryota, Metazoa, Chordata, Mammalia, Eulipotyphla, Talpidae.
GAAUCCUCUCUGGCCUUCACUCCAGCUCUUCUAUGUAAAGCACAAGUAAAGGCAGAUGAGUAUGCACAGAGGAUCAAAUCAAUAAAAAUGCAUUAAUGGACACUGAAAACUGAAAAGUUUAGCAGAAGUGAAGAAGAUGGAGCAAGGAUGAAGGCAGUAUGCUCAUGGUGGCCCUGGACAUUGGGUGAAGUUUGGUGGCCAAAUGAUGAUUCACAAAGCACAAGAAGUAGAGGAUGAGAAACAAAGAUAUGAACACAAACCUCACCACCUAAUAUUAUAAGAAAUGUAUUAUUUAAGUACUGCUCAAGACUCAAAUUCCACCGCAAAAGCUGAGUACCAUUGUUCUACUGCCUGAUGUCUAUGUUACCACUGUGAAAAGAAUAAAAUUGGGGAGGAAAAACUCAUGUUUCUGCAAAUCAAAGAAAAUAGUAACGUAGUUCACAAUGGAAAGGGCAAUAUCUGAACUGUGAUAACUCCGCUAUCUUUAAGGAUAGGAGCAAAGUGGUUAUG